UGCGCAGGCGGUUAUGCAAGACAGAUGUGAAAUCCCCGGGCUUAACCUGGGAAUUGCAUUUGUGACUGCAUGGCUAGAGUGUGUCAGAGGGGGGUAGAAUUCCACGUGUAGCAGUGAAAUGCGUAGAUAUGUGGAGGAAUACCGAUGGCGAAGGCAGCCCCCUGGGAUAACACUGACGCUCAUGCACGAAAGCGUGGGGAGCAAACAGGAUUAGAUACCCUGGUAGUCCACGCCCUAAACGAUGUCUACUAGUUGUCGGGUCUUAAUUGACUUGGUAACGCAGCUAACGCGUGAAGUAGACCGCCUGGGGAGUACGGUCGCAAGAUUAAA
Molecule: ribosomal RNA, 330 nt
Filed under: uncultured bacterium
Lineage: Bacteria
Description: bacterial SSU rRNA
Rfam family: Bacterial small subunit ribosomal RNA
Source: RNAcentral